Molecule: ribosomal RNA, 465 nt
Filed under: uncultured bacterium
Lineage: Bacteria
Description: partial 16S ribosomal RNA
Rfam family: Bacterial small subunit ribosomal RNA
Source: RNAcentral
CCUACGGGUGGCAGCAGUAGGGAAUCUUCCACAAUGGACGAAAGCCUGAUGGAGCAACGCCGCGUGAGUGAAGAAGGGUUUCGGCUCGUAAAGCUCUGUUGGUAGUGAAGAAAGAUAGAGGUAGUAACUGGCCUUUAUUUGACGGUAAUUACUUAGAAAGUCACGGCUAACUACGUGCCAGCAGCCGCGGUAAUACGUAGGUGGCAAGCGUUGUCCGGAUUUAUUGGGCGGAAAGCGAGCGCAGGCGGUUCAAUAAGUCUGAUGUGAAAGCCUUCGGCCCAACCGGGGAAUGGCAUGAGAAACUGGUGAACUUGAGUGCAGAAGAGGAAAGUGGAAGUCCAUGUGUAGCGGUGGAAUGCGCAGAUAUAUGGAAGAACACCAGUGGCGAAGGCGGCUCUCUGGUCUGCAACUGACGCUGAGGCGCGAAAGCAUGGGUAGCGAACAGGAUUAGAUACCCGAGUAGUC